AGGACCCAAGACUUUACCAAGAAAAGUCUCCUCUCGUCUUAUAUAUUGGAGAUCAUUUACAGAGCAAUUAUUUGCCAUGAAAGUGGAAUACUCCUUUGUGCCCAAGCACUUUUUAGAGUGCACUCAUGGAUGGGCCCUAACUACACAAGGCACAGACCUGGAUCCUGGGACCAGACUAAAAUUUCAAAACAUCACACCUAUAUCUGUCCAACCCAGCGAAGGAACAAAAGUGCCUCUUGGUCUGUUUAUCCAGAAAACAAGCGGAUUUCCCUUGAUCCUAAAUGCGAUUUGUGCCAACAGUCUCGUCACCGGCCACACUGGACUGAUUGACCCCGGCUACCGGGGUGAAAUCUCUGUUAUCCUGGCAACGGCGGCUCAGAGCACGGUGGAGAUUCAACCGGGCCAAUUGACCAUCUAUAUCCUGCCUGUGAGCUACACGGUUCCUGUCAUAACAGAUGACCACCUCCUAAAGAACCCAGUAUAUGACGAAGAUGCAGGAUUUGAUUUCAGAGCCUCUGAGGACCUGUGUCUGCUACCAAAGACUCGACACACCUUCCAGUUUGAUUUGACCCAUUUAUCUGGCAUUGCUCCAGAAUUUACCCCAGUGGUACUUGGCAGGUCUGGCAUCGCCUGUAGAGGAAUACUAGUGACACCUACCGGUAUCAACAUGGCUGAAAAAUUUUCAUUGACACUCCAUAAUCUGACAACAGAACCCAUAAUUAUCCCUCAAGGCAUCAGAAUAGCCCAAAUAGUAUUUAUUUCUAAAUCUUAUAGUCCCUCCCUGCUGCAGCUGUUAACAAGCAAAGAAUGCUCAAUGGACAUACCGGGUUUAGCUGUUGUACAGUUUAUUAGGGUUCCGCACGAAGCUGCAGACAAGUCUGAAAUUGCUGAAGAAAAGAAUAGGCGAUACAGCAAACAGAGGCCAGGAAAGCCUUCUAGGGAGGGGCGGGGGUUUGGGUCAAGUGGGGUGAAUUAAUAAAACUGCACACAAAAUGAUGUGUGUGACCAGUUUCAAUAAACAGCAUUUGAAAGUUGUGUGGCUUUUUUCAGUGCUAUUUGGUCGGGUGACUCACUUGGGGGCGUGGCCAAAGGUUGGCUAGAUACAAUACCAGCAAUGUCAGUGGCCCAUGCGGCCGUCUCAUCCAGUUUGACUGCUGUGGCUAUUUUCUCCAUCUCGAGAAGAGCCACCGUUUCCUCUGCCCUCUUGUCCAGCAGGGCUGGAAGUGUGGCCUCAUCUACACUUAUUGCCCCAGCAGCCAAUGAUAUCAUUGUGUUCCAAAUUAUGUGUUGGACAGACUUUAAUUUUUCCAAUUGAGAUCUGGUAACAUUUUUACAUUCUUCUGGUAUCUCACCCAAGGUAAAUCUCUUGAUGUGCUCUGUUAAAUUAUUUGCCUGCACGGCCAGAAGAUAGAGUUGCUCCAGGACCUGCUUAUCCUUGGUGCUCCUAAUCAGGUCGGCCGCCAACACCCCCGGGGGCAUACCCAGCCUGAUCUCCAUCUCCAUUCUCUCAUCUGUUUCUACAUCAGCGAGCCUCUUGUAAGGUACACCGGGUUUCCCAAAUGGCCAGAUACCACAGCAAUUCAUGCCUUGUAUCGCCAGAUACUGUCAGGUGUAUAUUUUCUACAGAUAUUGAUGUUAUAGACGCUGUUGUGAAUUUAAUCACACACGAGGGCGCAACUGAAUAUAAAUUCACCUCUUUGAUUCAUGACUGCUUUAGUAUUUCUGGUCUAAAAAACAUCAGCAGCAUCUCUAUGUGCCUACCUCUAAACAGGCCCAAUAAGGAAAAAAAAUACUUUGAACUGUUUAAAGUUGACAUUUCCUGCGAUGAUGCCAAACAGUUUUUGUUUAAUGGCAGGCCUCUAACCAGCGGGCAGGUAGCAUCUUGCCUAGAUUAUUCUCACCUCAAAGCUCAAAUAUUGCCAAUUUUAAAAUUGAUAAUGAGUCUAGAUAACAGAGGGGAGAAAGAGGGCACUUUUCUGGAAAUGGUUAGAUGGUACCAGUCAAAAUUAAUCAAUUUUUUGAGAAAACUGUUAAAGACAACAUCUUCCACACAAUGGUUCAUUACAACCUUUGGACAGGAUGACUUGACCUUUACCCUGGUCAUCGCCUCUUAUUACUUUUAUAAACAUGCUUGUACCGUUGAGACCCUCAUGCACUUGGCUAGACUUUUCUGCGGGGAGCUUGGACACUCUCUCAUUGAUGUGUCCAGUCUUCAGGAACUUGGGCUGUUCUUUUCCUCAAGCUCUAUCCUGGACAGUGUGCCUUUGUUUGCAGAAUAUGUAGAAACUAAACUCAACAUAGACACUCUAGAAAAUGAAAAGAUUGACCAGAUGAUUAAUGAAAUUAGGGGGGGUCUACUGCUGUCUAACAAGGACAUUGUACAAUUUGUGUACCUGGCAUUUUAUGCAUGUUUUAACAAAACUGCCUUCCUGGAAUUUAUUGGAAAGACCUCACCGGACAAUAUCAACACCUACAGUUCUGAAAUUCUUCAUCUGAAACUCUGUGAUGAAUUUUUGGAUAAAAUGUCCAGCUACUAUAACAAGGAAAAAUAUAUUCACACCCAUCUAUUGACAAAGGUUGUCCGUGUACCUGGAGCCAGCUUAGGGUCGUAUGGAGAUACCCCAGGUACUCUCCAGGCCUGGUUUGGACAGACAUCGGACCUGACAGCCUUGUUUGAUUCCAUCAACGAGGAUUUUCCUUUUUAUAGCUCAGAGUCCAGCCUGAAAGAGUUAUUGAAACUAGCAUCCUUAUCUCCACAAGAACUUGAUAACCCAAAGGACAUUCUGUUCCCAGAAAAGCCAAUUUGUCCCACGUACAGAAGUGAAUUUAAAAACAAGACUUAUUUUGUGAUGGUGGCAACAGAUUCUAUAGAAGACUACUGGAAGAAGCACGUCAUUUUCCCCCACUCAAUUAAUUUAGAUGAAUUAACAGACGUGAGAAUCACUGAACUUUUGACCUACUGUGUUAAUGGUUGCACGAGCAACACGGUUGAGGACAAUCUCAUGGUUUCCAGGCACGAAUACUUCAACCCUCAUCUGCCAAUCUAUAAUGUCAUUCUGGAUUUUGAUCUCCCAGUUGAAGUUCCAGGAUAUAAAAUUGAAGACAUAUACAAUCUGUGUCUGCAGAUUCGCCAGGACAUAAUUACUGUCCUCAGCACAAUCCUAAACCUGGAGAUGCCCCCGUCUCAUCCCGUCUAUUUCUUCAAGUCAGAGUGUAACUCUGAUAUAUAUAUGGAACCACGACCAUUUUGUACCUGCAGCAAAAAGAUUGGACUCCGAAUAAUUACACCAUUACCAAUGAGACAUGCUAUAGUUGGAGCAACACCACUAAUAACUCUAGCAAGAGUGAUAAACAGAACUAUCAGACUGAACAAAAGAGUGUGUGAACUAUUCCCCUCAAUCUCUUCAACAGAGUUUUUAUUUGACACGGGUAUCUACAGCCAGGGUCGCUGCAUUCGCCUGCCACACACCUACAAAUUUACAUCUACAGGAUUGCCUGAGAGACUGCUAAAAUUGUUUGUCUGUCACCCAUUUCCAGAUAAGACCUCCUAUGUCAAGAACAGCUUCGUGCUGACAAACCUUUUGUAUCACAGUACCAGUGAGGAUCUAAGAUCUGGAGAUUAUAAUCUAAUAUUGGACAUUCGUGAUAAAGAUGAGGAUUUUUUAUCCUGCAAGACUGUGGCCAGCUUACCAAAAAAUUCUCUAGAUAUUGACAAACUGGAAGAUAUUUUGGGGUGCCCGGUCCAGUCCUGGAUAGACACCACCUUGUGGCCAUUGUUUUGUGAGCAGUUAGUCAAAUAUCUGCCACAGAAAAAUGCAAAUGAACUAAACAACAUUUCAUUUAACGUUGUGUCUAACAACAUGCUACAACUGAAACCUCGCAGAGGUCCAGGCUUCUCCUGUCUGACUCAUCAACACAGAACAAAAUCACAUAAUGUGAGGCUUUUCAUAACCCUGGGAAAGUUCUCACGUGACGUCAUAACUGCAACACUUAUGAGUCAAUGCUUUGCCAAUAAGUGCAACAACAAUAAGCCUGUGACACAUUGCACCGUGCAUGCUCGAGUGUAGAGGACUCUCCGAUCCUGGGCACCAUACAGUACCCACAGCUCGCAGAAUGGCACAGCAGAUGUUGGAGGCGGGCGCGCUGGACCAAAUGAUGGAAGGACUACCAUCUGAUUUUGACUUUGAUACAUCUGAUGAAGAAGGUGAGCUCUCAGAUUCUCCACCAGUUGAGGAGCCAACGGGGCCAGUCCGGGAUGUGGUGUACGAACCUGACCCACUCUUCGACGACCCACCACCAACACCCUCGCCAGACGUCAAGCCACCUUCUCCAAAGGCUAGAAAGCGCGCCCUGUCUCCUGAAAUUGUCCACAACUCUCCUCUGCUUAGAGAUACAACAAAGUAUGAGCCUGCACCCAAAAGAAGCUAUUCUUACCACCCCAGACGCAGUCCACAGAGAGAAAAUGCUAACCAGAAGCAGAAAAGGGGACCAGACUCACGAAGACCAAACAGAUGGAACCAGAAAAGCCAGAAACAAUAUUGGUCCCCCAAACCUCUUCUGGAUUACAGCAAAAUUCCAAGAGCAGAGUACAAAAAUGCCAAACUGUUGGUGCCUACAACUGGUAAACUGCGCCCAGAGUUCUAUACUGAUCGGUUUGUGGAUGCUAUAAUUCAGAACGCUGCCAGAAAUUGUCCAGUGUCUGAAAAGGCGGUAUCACUAAAAAAUAUUGAAGAGUCUUUCAAACUGCUUAACUCUUUCUUUAACAGUGGAAUAAAUAAGGAUCAUUGGCUAUCUACAAGGUAUUUUGCAAUCUUCAACAACGGCCUGGUGGUGCUGACCCACAUGCUAGACGAACAGUUGGCCUGGGCAUAUGCUUGCCUGAAACACGGUAGGGAGUUGCCCACUGACGACAUACUCAUGUCUACUUCAGAAAAAUUGUCCCAACAGCUUGUGAUAAAACUCAUAGAGGUGAUAAAAUGUAUAGAAAAGGAUGGAAUAUUCAGCAGGAUCCUCAAAGGUGUGGCAGAUGCGGUAUGCCUUAAGGCCCAGUUCUUACGUGGUAUGAUCACCCUGAAGAGAACCCCUUGCAGCCUUCCCAUGUAUACCCUGUUUGUUUAUGUACUGACUAUUCCCACUCUGAGAACACGUGUAAUCAGGGACCCUCUGCUGACACAGUGUAAGGAUGUGGUCCUAAAGUAUCAGCCAGGCGACUGUAUAACCCUAUUGAAAGCUGCACUAAAUUGUCAUCAGUGUAACAAAGACUGUGAUAAAUGUAAAUAUAUUUUGGAUCCCCUGUUGGGACAAACACACCGCACCAAGGGGGUAUUUUUUGUGUGUGAAUAAUCAAUAAUAAACACAAUUGAACUGCA
This 5369-nucleotide non-coding RNA is filed under the name synthetic construct. The record is from RNAcentral.